Non-coding RNA from Pelobates cultripes (western spadefoot toad), 219 nucleotides. NCBI's taxonomy places the organism in Eukaryota, Metazoa, Chordata, Amphibia, Anura, Pelobatidae. The record is from the annotation of a GenBank genome assembly.
GGUGCAUUUAUCCAUAAAUGUUUCUUUUUAUAUACUAUAUUGCACUAUUUUACUAUUUUUCUCUAUUCCAUAUACAUCAAGGGGCUAUAAUUAAAGAUAUACCCUUUUGGAUAUACUCCUGCUGGGAAAACAAGGUUGAAUAUCAUAACCAUCUUGUGAGUGCUAUCCCUUCCCCCUCUCCCUGUCCAUUAGUGUUUAAAGGAACACUAUAGUCACCAG